Molecule: ribosomal RNA, 443 nt
Filed under: uncultured bacterium
Lineage: Bacteria
Description: partial 16S ribosomal RNA
Rfam family: Bacterial small subunit ribosomal RNA
Source: RNAcentral
CCUACGGGAGGCAGCAGUGGGGGAUAUUGGACAAUGGGGGGAACCCUGAUCCAGCGACGCCGCGUGAGUGAAGAAGUAUUUCGGGAUGUAAAGCUCUGUCAGCAGGGAAGAAAGAAAUGACGGUACCUGACCAAGAAGCCCCGGCUAACUACGUGCCAGCAGCCGCGGUAAUACGGAGGGGGCAAGCGUUAUCCGGAAUUAUUGGGCGUAAAGCGAGCGCAGGCGGAUGCUUAGGUCUGAUGUGAAAGCCGUCGGCUCAACCGACGAAGUGCAUCUGAAACCGGUCGACUUGAGUGCCGAAGAGGCUAGCGGAAUUCCUAGUGUAGCGGUGAAAUGCGUAGAUAUUAGGAGGAACACCAGUGGCGAAGGCGGCUGUCUGGUCGGUAACUGACGCUGAGGCGCGAAAGCAUGGGUAGCAAACAGGAUUAGAUACCCGAGUAGUC